GCUGGCGGCGUGGAUAAGACAUGCAAGUCGAACGAGGCUAGUUUGGUAGCAAUACCGGGCUGGCUUAGUGGCGAACGGGUGCGUAACACGUGACCAACCUUCCCAAAAGUGGGGAAUAGCUCGCCGAAAGGCGAAUUAAUACCGCAUAUACCUCAAAGCAAUUUGAGGCAAAGCAGCAAUGCGCUUUUGGAUGGGGUCGCGGCCUAUCAGCUAGUUGGUGGGGUUAAGGCUCACCAAGGCAGCGACGGGUAGCUGGUCUGAGAGGACGACCAGCCACACUGGAACUGAGACACGGUCCAGACACCUACGGGUGGCAGCAGUCGAGAAUUUUUCUCAAUGGGGGAAACCCUGAAGGAGCGACGCCGCGUGGAGGAUGAAGGCUUUCGGGUUGUAAACUCCAGUCAUUUGGGAACAAAGUCCGCCUCUGGCGGAUGUGAUAGUACCAGAAGAGGAAGAGACGGCUAACUCUGUGCCAGCAGCCGCGGUAAUACA
RNAcentral lists this ribosomal RNA (492 nucleotides) under uncultured bacterium. RNAcentral describes it as "bacterial SSU rRNA". It matches the Rfam family "Bacterial small subunit ribosomal RNA", at positions 35 to 527 of the family's 1533-position model. The record is from RNAcentral.